UCACCGCGUGGUGGGCGGGGGUGCUGCCGCCGCUCGCGGCGGAGGCGCCCGGCCUGUCCGCCGGGACCGGCGGUCCCGGGCCCGCGCAGUGGGC
Molecule: transfer RNA, 94 nt
Filed under: Streptomyces albogriseolus
Lineage: Bacteria; Bacillati; Actinomycetota; Actinomycetes; Kitasatosporales; Streptomycetaceae
Also listed under: 1 other name
Description: tRNA-Ala
Source: RNAcentral